Molecule: ribosomal RNA, 500 nt
Filed under: uncultured bacterium
Lineage: Bacteria
Description: partial 16S ribosomal RNA
Rfam family: Bacterial small subunit ribosomal RNA
Source: RNAcentral
AUUGAACGCUGGCGGCAUGCCUUACACAUGCAAGUCGAACGGCAGCACGGGAGCAAUCCUGGUGGCGAGUGGCGAACGGGUGAGUAAUAUAUCGGAACGUGCCCAGUCGUGGGGGAUAACGCAGCGAAAGCUGUGCUAAUACCGCAUACGAUCUACGGAUGAAAGCGGGGGACCGCAAGACCUCGCGCGAUUGGAGCGGCCGAUAUCAGAUUAGCUAGUUGGUGAGGUAAAGGCUCACCAAGGCGACGCAUUGUAGCUGGUCUGAGAGGACGUCCAGCCAUACGGGAACUGAGACACGGUCCAGACUCCUCCGGUAGGCAGCAGUGGGGAAUUAUGGACAAUGGGCGAAAGCCUGAUCCAGCAAUGCCGCGUGCAGGAUGAAGGCCUUCGCGUUGUAAACUGCUUUUGUACGGAACGAAACGGUGAGCUCUAAUACAGUUUGCUAAUGACGGUACCGUAAGAAUAAGCACCGGCUAACUACGUGCCAGCCGCCGCCGUAA